GCCGCAGGUACCCCAGUGUUGCUCUCCUCUCUCCACCCUGCAGGCCCACAGUGCCCCCUGCCCUUCUCUGGGUUGGAGGUGGCUGGUGGAGUGAUCCUCUGUGAGGGAGCCUCGGGCCCAGGGGGAGCUGCCGAGCAGCAGUGCCGGGUGCUCUGCCGCCAGGGCUUCCGGAGCGCCUUUGCCCUGGGGCCACUGGUGUGCAGCCUGGACAGCCGUCGCUGGGUGACACAGCCUCCACCGCCCCGGGCCUGCCAGCGUGAAGACAUACGGGACGCUGCUCUCCAGUCCUGCCUGCACGGACUCCUCAGUGCAGGUGGGGUGUCUGGCUGCAGAUCGUCUAGGAGUGAAUGUCACUUGGAAGUCUCAGCUUGAGGACAUCCCAGUUGCCUCUCUUCCUGACUUACAUGACAUUGAAGAGUCCUUAGUGGGCAAGGAUUUCCUUGGGCGCUUCGCAGAUCUGAUCCAAAGUGGCCUGUUUCAACUUCAUGUGGACUCCAAGGUGUUCCCGGCAGACCCCUCCAUCCGCUUCCUCCAGGGGGACCGCUUGGGCACCUCUCCCAGGACAUGGUUUGGGUGCUUGGAAGGAUUCUACCGAGUGUCGGCCUCCAGCAAUGCCAGCGAGGACCUGCUGGGGUGUGGUAGGUGCACA
This 649-nucleotide long non-coding RNA is filed under the name Ictidomys tridecemlineatus (thirteen-lined ground squirrel). RNAcentral's name for it is "lncRNA (ENSSTOG00000034017.1)". The record is from RNAcentral. Lineage: Eukaryota; Metazoa; Chordata; Mammalia; Rodentia; Sciuridae.